CGCACCUUGCGCCCUUCUUCGGAAGGGCACGCCUGUUUGAGUGUCAUGUUCAUCUCAAUUCAACAGCUUUGCGGCUGACUUGGAUUGGAUUUGGGAGUCUGCUGGCCCUAUUUGGGAUCGGCUCUCCUUGAAUGCAUGAGUGAGCAUCUGGCUCGCGUUGCUGAUGUGAUAGCCUUUCAUCAUUGGCGGCGCCUGUCUAACGGGCUUGCUUCCGAACCGUCUUCUCAACGGAGACAACUAUUGACAUUUUUGACCUCAAAUCAGGUGGGACUACCCGCUGAACUUAA
Molecule: unclassified non-coding RNA, 287 nt
Filed under: Hymenochaete berteroi
Lineage: Eukaryota; Fungi; Basidiomycota; Agaricomycetes; Hymenochaetales; Hymenochaetaceae
Description: partial contains 5.8S ribosomal RNA, internal transcribed spacer 2, and large subunit ribosomal RNA
Source: RNAcentral